GGUAUUGUUUCUUCGGAAUGAGAGAGCGGCGUACGGGUGCGGUAAACGUGUGCAACCUGCCUUUAUCUGGGGGAUAGCCUUUCGAAAGGGAGAUUAAUACCCCAUAAUAUUUAGAAUGGCAUCAUUUUAAAUUGAAAACUCCGGUGGAUAGAGAUGGGCACGCGCAAGAUUAGAUAGUUGGUGAGGUAACGGCUCACCAAGUCAACGAUCUUUAGGGGGCCUGAGAGGGUGAUCCCCCACACUGGUACUGAGACACGGACCAGACUCCUACGGGAGGCAGCAGUGAGGAAUAUUGGACAAUGGGUGAGAGCCUGAUCCAGCCAUCCCGCGUGAAGGACGACGGCCCUAUGGGUUGUAAACUUCUUUUGUAUAGGGAUAAACCUACCCUCGUGAGGGUAGCUGAAGGUACUAUACGAAUAAGCACCGGCUAACUCCGUGCCAGCAGCCGCGGUAAUACGGAGGGUGCAAGCGUUAUCCGGAUUUAUUGGGUUUAAAGGGUCCGUAUGCGGAUCUGUAAGUCAGUGGUGAAAUCUCACAGCUUAACUGUGAAACUGCCAUUGAUACUGCAGGUCUUGAGUGUUGU
This 583-nucleotide ribosomal RNA is filed under the name uncultured bacterium. Its description in RNAcentral is "bacterial SSU rRNA". It matches the Rfam family "Bacterial small subunit ribosomal RNA", at positions 68 to 652 of the family's 1533-position model. The record is from RNAcentral.